RNAcentral lists this ribosomal RNA (251 nucleotides) under uncultured bacterium. RNAcentral describes it as "partial 16S ribosomal RNA". It matches the Rfam family "Bacterial small subunit ribosomal RNA", at positions 15 to 266 of the family's 1533-position model. The record is from RNAcentral.
GAUCCUGGCUCAGAUUGAACGCUGGCGGCAGGCUUAACACAUGCAAGUCGAGCGGGGAAGGGUAGCUUGCUACCUGACCUAGCGGCGGACGGGUGAGUAAUGCUUAGGAAUCUGCCUAUUAGUGGGGGGACAACAUUCCGAAAGGAAUGCUAAUACCGCAUACGCCCUACGGGGGAAAGGCAGGGGAUCUUCGGACCUUGCGCUAAUAGAUGAGCCUAAGUCAGAUUAGCUAGUUGGUGGGGUAAAGGCCU